RNAcentral lists this ribosomal RNA (254 nucleotides) under uncultured bacterium. Its description in RNAcentral is "partial 16S ribosomal RNA". It matches the Rfam family "Bacterial small subunit ribosomal RNA", at positions 524 to 776 of the family's 1533-position model. The record is from RNAcentral.
UACGUAGGGGGCGAGCGUUGUCCGGAUUCAUUGGGCGUAAAGAGCUCGUAGGCGGCUUGGCAAGUCGGGUGUGAAAAUUUCAGGCUCAACCUGGAGCGGCCACUCGAUACUGCCAUGGCUUGAGUCCGGUAGGGGACCACGGAAUUCCUGGUGUAGCGGUGAAAUGCGCAGAUAUCAGGAGGAACACCGGUGGCGAAGGCGGUGGUCUGGGCCGGAACUGACGCUGAGGAGCGAAAGCGUGGGGAGCGAACAGG